AACGUAGGUGGCGAGCGUUAUCCGGAUUUACUGGGCGUAAAGGGUGUGCAGGCGGGCUGUUAAGUGGUGCAUGAAGUCUCCGCGCUUAACGUGGAGAGGCUGUGCCAGACUGGCAGUCUAGAGUACGUGAGAGGGUUGUGGAAUUCCGGGUGUAGUGGUGAAAUGCGUAGAGAUCCGGAGGAACACCAGAGGCGAAGGCGGCAACCUGGCACGUAACUGACGCUCAUACACGACAGCAUGGGGAGCGAACGGG
RNAcentral lists this ribosomal RNA (253 nucleotides) under uncultured bacterium. RNAcentral describes it as "partial 16S ribosomal RNA". It matches the Rfam family "Bacterial small subunit ribosomal RNA", at positions 524 to 776 of the family's 1533-position model. The record is from RNAcentral.